GAUGAACGCUGGCGGCGUGCCUAAUACAUGCAAGUCGAGCGAACAGAUGAGGAGCUUGCUCCUCUGACGUUAGCGGCGGACGGGUGAGUAACACGUGGAUAACCUACCUAUAAGACUGGGAUAACUUCGGGAAACCGGAGCUAAUACCGGAUAAUAUAUUGAACCGCAUGGUUCAAUAGUGAAAGACGGUUUUGCUGUCACUUAAAGCUGGAUCCGCGCCGCAUUGGCUAGUUGGUAAGGUAACGGCUUACCAAGGCAACGAUGCGUAGCCGACCUGAGAGGGUGAUCGGCCACACUGGAACUGAGACACGGUCCAGACUCCUACGGGAGGCAGCAGUAGGGAAUCUUCCGCAAUGGGCGAAAGCCUGACGGAGCAACGCCGCGUGAGUGAUGAAGGUCUUCGGAUCGUAAAACUCUGUUAUUAGGGAAGAACAAAUGUGUAAGUAACUAUGCACGUCUUGACGGUACCUAAUCAGAAAGCCACGGCUAACUACGUG
RNAcentral lists this ribosomal RNA (497 nucleotides) under uncultured bacterium. RNAcentral describes it as "partial 16S ribosomal RNA". It matches the Rfam family "Bacterial small subunit ribosomal RNA", at positions 28 to 507 of the family's 1533-position model. The record is from RNAcentral.